RNAcentral lists this ribosomal RNA (440 nucleotides) under uncultured bacterium. RNAcentral describes it as "partial 16S ribosomal RNA". It matches the Rfam family "Bacterial small subunit ribosomal RNA", at positions 338 to 795 of the family's 1533-position model. The record is from RNAcentral.
CCUACGGGUGGCAGCAGUAGGGAAUAUUGCUCAAUGGGGGAAACCCUGACGCAGCAACGCCGCGUGGAGGAUGAAGGUUUUAGGAUUGUAAACUUCUUUCGUUAGAGAAGAUUAUGACGGUAUCUAACGAAUAAGCACCGGCUAACUCCGUGACAGCAGCCGCGGUAAAACGUAGGGUGCAAGAGUUAUUUGGAAGUACUGGGUGUAAAGAGCGCGUAGGCGGGGUAAUAAGUCAGAUGUGAAAUCCUUUGGCUUAACCACAGUACUGCGUAUGAAAAUGUUGCUCUUGAGUGUGGGAGAGGUAGGUGGAAUUCUUGGUGUAGGGGUAAAAUCCGUAGAGAUCGAGAGGAAUACUCAUUGCGAAGGCGACCUGCUGGAACAUUACUGACGCUGAUGCACGAAAGCGUGGGGAGCAAACAGGAUUAGAUACCCGUGUAGUC